RNAcentral lists this ribosomal RNA (1315 nucleotides) under Paenarthrobacter sp. RNAcentral describes it as "bacterial SSU rRNA". It matches the Rfam family "Bacterial small subunit ribosomal RNA", at positions 91 to 1417 of the family's 1533-position model. Lineage: Bacteria; Bacillati; Actinomycetota; Actinomycetes; Micrococcales; Micrococcaceae. The record is from RNAcentral.
AUUAGUGGCGAACGGGUGAGUAACACGUGAGUAACCUGCCCUUGACUCUGGGAUAAGCCUGGGAAACUGGGUCUAAUACCGGAUACGACCAUCUGACGCAUGUCAUGGUGGUGGAAAGCUUUUGUGGUUUUGGAUGGACUCGCGGCCUAUCAGCUUGUUGGUGGGGUAAUGGCCUACCAAGGCGACGACGGGUAGCCGGCCUGAGAGGGUGACCGGCCACACUGGGACUGAGACACGGCCCAGACUCCUACGGGAGGCAGCAGUGGGGAAUAUUGCACAAUGGGCGCAAGCCUGAUGCAGCGACGCCGCGUGAGGGAUGACGGCCUUCGGGUUGUAAACCUCUUUCAGUAGGGAAGAAGCGAAAGUGACGGUACCUGCAGAAGAAGCGCCGGCUAACUACGUGCCAGCAGCCGCGGUAAUACGUAGGGCGCAAGCGUUAUCCGGAAUUAUUGGGCGUAAAGAGCUCGUAGGCGGUUUGUCGCGUCUGCUGUGAAAGACCGGGGCUCAACUCCGGUUCUGCAGUGGGUACGGGCAGACUAGAGUGCAGUAGGGGAGACUGGAAUUCCUGGUGUAGCGGUGAAAUGCGCAGAUAUCAGGAGGAACACCGAUGGCGAAGGCAGGUCUCUGGGCUGUAACUGACGCUGAGGAGCGAAAGCAUGGGGAGCGAACAGGAUUAGAUACCCUGGUAGUCCAUGCCGUAAACGUUGGGCACUAGGUGUGGGGGACAUUCCACGUUUUCCGCGCCGUAGCUAACGCAUUAAGUGCCCCGCCUGGGGAGUACGGCCGCAAGGCUAAAACUCAAAGGAAUUGACGGGGGCCCGCACAAGCGGCGGAGCAUGCGGAUUAAUUCGAUGCAACGCGAAGAACCUUACCAAGGCUUGACAUGAACCGGAAAGACCUGGAAACAGGUGCCCCGCUUGCGGUCGGUUUACAGGUGGUGCAUGGUUGUCGUCAGCUCGUGUCGUGAGAUGUUGGGUUAAGUCCCGCAACGAGCGCAACCCUCGUUCUAUGUUGCCAGCGCGUUAUGGCGGGGACUCAUAGGAGACUGCCGGGGUCAACUCGGAGGAAGGUGGGGACGACGUCAAAUCAUCAUGCCCCUUAUGUCUUGGGCUUCACGCAUGCUACAAUGGCCGGUACAAAGGGUUGCGAUACUGUGAGGUGGAGCUAAUCCCAAAAAGCCGGUCUCAGUUCGGAUUGGGGUCUGCAACUCGACCCCAUGAAGUCGGAGUCGCUAGUAAUCGCAGAUCAGCAACGCUGCGGUGAAUACGUUCCCGGGCCUUGUACACACCGCCCGUCAAGUCACGAAAGUUGGUAA